Ovis aries (sheep) is the source of this 72-nucleotide transfer RNA. It matches the Rfam family "tRNA". From Rfam's summary of the family: Transfer RNA (tRNA) molecules are approximately 80 nucleotides in length. Their secondary structure includes four short double-helical elements and three loops (D, anti-codon, and T loops). The record is from Rfam. Lineage: Eukaryota; Metazoa; Chordata; Mammalia; Artiodactyla; Bovidae.
UCCUUGGUAGUCCCAUAGUUAAGACUCAGCACUCCCAAUGCAGAGGCCUGGGUUCAAUCCCUGGUCAGGGAA